Molecule: ribosomal RNA, 840 nt
Filed under: Plectosphaerella cucumerina
Lineage: Eukaryota; Fungi; Ascomycota; Sordariomycetes; Glomerellales; Plectosphaerellaceae
Description: partial large subunit ribosomal RNA
Rfam family: Eukaryotic large subunit ribosomal RNA
Source: RNAcentral
AUUGCCCUAGUAACGGCGAGUGAAGCGGCAACAGCUCAAAUUUGAAAUCUGGCUCUUUCAGAGUCCGAGUUGUAAUUUGCAGAGGGCGCUUUGGUGUUGGCAGCGGUCCAAGUUCCUUGGAACAGGACGUCACAGAGGGUGAGAAUCCCGUACGUGGUCGCUAGCCUUCGCCGUGUAAAGCCCCUUCGACGAGUCGAGUUGUUUGGGAAUGCAGCUCUAAAUGGGAGGUAAAUUUCUUCUAAAGCUAAAUACUGGCCAGAGACCGAUAGCGCACAAGUAGAGUGAUCGAAAGAUGAAAAGCACUUUGGAAAGAGAGUCAAAUAGCACGUGAAAUUGUUGAAAGGGAAGCGCUUGCAGCCAGACUUGCCUGUAGUUGCUUAUCCGGACUUUUGUCCGGUGCACUCUUCUGCGGGCAGGCCAGCAUCAGUUUGGGCGGUUGGAUAAAGGUCUCUGUCAUGUACCUCUCUUCGGGGAGAACUUAUAGGGGAGACGACAUGCAACCAGCCUGGACUGAGGUCCGCGCAUCUGCUAGGAUGCUGGCGUAAUGGCUGUAAGCGGCCCGUCUUGAAACACGGACCAAGGAGUCUAACAUCUAUGCGAGUGUUUGGGUGUCAAGCCCAGACGCGUAAUGAAAGUGAACGGAGGUGGGAACCCUUUGGGUGCACCAUCGACCGAUCCUGAUGUCUUCGGAUGGAUUUGAGUAAGAGCAUGGCUGUUGGGACCCGAAAGAUGGUGAACUAUGCUUGAAUAGGGUGAAGCCAGAGGAAACUCUGGUGGAGGCUCGCAGCGGUUCUGACGUGCAAAUCGAUCGUCAAAUUUGGGCAUAGGGGCGAAAGACUA